This 419-nucleotide ribosomal RNA is filed under the name uncultured Prevotella sp. Its description in RNAcentral is "bacterial SSU rRNA". It matches the Rfam family "Bacterial small subunit ribosomal RNA", at positions 358 to 774 of the family's 1533-position model. Lineage: Bacteria; Pseudomonadati; Bacteroidota; Bacteroidia; Bacteroidales; Prevotellaceae. The record is from RNAcentral.
GGAAUAUUGGUCAAUGGGCGAGAGCCUGAACCAGCCAAGUAGCGUGCAGGAUGACGGCCCUAUGGGUUGUAAACUGCUUUUAUACGGGGAUAAAGUGAGGGACGUGUCCCUUAUUGUAGGUACCGUAUGAAUAAGGACCGGCUAAUUCCGUGCCAGCAGCCGCGGUAAUACGGAAGGUCCGGGCGUUAUCCGGAUUUAUUGGGUUUAAAGGGAGCGCAGGCCGACUGGUAAGCGUGACUUGAAAUGUAGCCGCUCAACGGCUGAACUGCGUCGCGAACUGGCUUUCUUGAGUGAGUACGACGCUGGCGGAAUUCGUGGUGUAGCGGUGAAAUGCUUAGAUAUCACGAAGAACUCCGAUUGCGAAGGCAGCCUACAAGGCCUUUACUGACGCUAAAGCUCGAAGGUGCGGGUAUCGAACA